RNAcentral lists this ribosomal RNA (260 nucleotides) under uncultured bacterium. RNAcentral's name for it is "partial 16S ribosomal RNA". It matches the Rfam family "Bacterial small subunit ribosomal RNA", at positions 96 to 354 of the family's 1533-position model. The record is from RNAcentral.
UGGCGGACGGGUGAGUAACACGUGAGCAACCUGCCUUUCAGAGGGGGAUAACGUUUGGAAACGAACGCUAAUACCGCAUAAAAUAUCGGAGUCGCAUGGCACUGAUAUCAAAGGAGCAAUCCGCUGAAAGAUGGGCUCGCGCCCGAUUAGGCAGUUGGCGGGGUAACGGCCCACCAAACCGACGAUGCGUAGGGGUUCUGAGAGGAAGGUCCCCCACACUGGUACUGAGACACGGACCAGACUCCUACGGAAGGCAGCAG